GUUCUUUCCCAAGACAAAACCCUAAAAAACCCUGCUCCUCCUCUCCUGCUCACACGCAGCCUCCUCCAAGCCCCGCUCUGCCCGGUCCCCACCCACCCUGUCCCGACCUGACCUGCCGCCGGCUUCCACCCACCUGCCUGGGGUCUCUCUCUCGGUCUCGGUCCCUGUCUCUCCCUGUCUCUCUCUCUGUCUCUGUCUCUGUCUCUCUGUCUCUCACUGUCUCUGUCUCUCUGUCUCUCUCUGUCUCUGUCUCUGUCUCUCUGUCUCUGUCUCAGUCUCUCUGUCUCUGUCUCUGUCUCUCUGUCUCUCUCUGUCUCUGUCUCUGUCUCUCUCUGUCUCUGUCUCUGUCUCUCUGUCUCUCACUGUCUCUGUCUCUCUGUCUCUCUCUGUCUCUGUCUCUCUGUCUCUCACUGUCUCUGUCUCUCUGUCUCUCUCUGUCUCUGUCUCUCUGUCUCUCACUGUCUCUGUCUCUCACUGUCUCUGUCUCUGUCUCUGUCUCUCUGUCUCUCACUGUCUCUGUCUCAGUCUCUCUGUCUCUCUCUGUCUCUGUCUGUCUCUGUCUCUGUCUCUGUCUCCCUGUCUCUCACUGUCUCUGUCUCUCUGUCUCUCUCUGUCUCUGUCUCUCUCUGUCUCUGUCUUUCUCUGUCUCUCUCUGUCUCUGUGUCUCUCUCUGUGUCUGUCUUUCUCUGUCUCUCUCUUGUCUCUCUAUCUCUAUUUCUCUCUCUCUCCUCUCCUUCCCUCCCUUCCUCUUUUCCUCCCUCCCUCCCCAAGUCUCCCCCACCUCUUCCUUCACCCUGACCCUCAGGGACCCCUACCCUGGGACCAUAGGCCCUGGAGCGUACUCGGGCCUUUCCUGCUGGCAGAGAACCCACCCGGGCAGCACCCAGGGCCCUGGUGAGACGCAGGGAAGCCAGCCUGGAAGCCUGUAGUGUACCUUUUCAGAUUCCUGGUGGGAGGCAUAGCUCUCGUCCUAGUUACCCUUUGGCAGGGGAGAAGAUCUGCUUCAGGAGCCCCAGCUAACACUGACCCCCAACAUGACUGUGCCAGACACCAGAGGCAUCCUGGCCACAGGCAAGGCCCCAACGGACCUCCCAAGGCCCAUAAGCAAAGCUAAGGGUUCUAUGAGCAGCUUUCCCUGGAGCCACGCAGAGUCCUCCCCAUCCAGGUUCCAAACGGCUCUCCCACCGCUGGCUUCCUGGACCUCCACCUCAGCUCAGCCUGGGCAGUCCUGCUGCUCCUCUCCCGAAGAGAAGAUGGGGGCCCACAGAGACCGCCGGCGAGAUCCCCUGGUCCUGUGCUGUGUGUGGCUCCCACUCACCACCUUGUGCGCUUCCCUGCCCUUGAGUCCUGGAGACACAAAUACAUGCAGCUAAUCACCUCUUUUUAGUCACUCGUUCACUUGACAAUAGUGCAUCGAUACAUACUUAUGGAGCAUUUGUUUGACGCAUUCGGUCUUCUACCAUGGCAGGACCUGGGGAACGCUGUAAACGUGACUUUGUCCUGGACCUCAAGGACCUUCCGGCCUCCCGAGAGCUUCAGCAGGUGUAUUCACCAGUUUUCCUCACUCUUACAAAACACCCAAUGCAGGCCAUUCAUGCAGAAAGAGGUUUAUGCCACUCAGUUUGGGAGCUUCAAAGCCGUGGUACCUCCAUUGGCUGAUACAGUAUAAAAAGUUGAGUGAAAGUUUGGGUUGCAGUUAAGGGGAAGGGGAAGGAUAGGAGGGAAAAUAAAACAUGUUACUGCAUGCGUGAAUGUGAUGAAACAAACUCAUUAUUCUGUAUCAUUAAAAUGCACUUGUAAAUUUUUUAAUUUGUGGGUGGAGUUUGAGAGUCCAUGCUGCAAAUAUAAAG
Molecule: long non-coding RNA, 1850 nt
Organism: Heterocephalus glaber (naked mole-rat)
Lineage: Eukaryota; Metazoa; Chordata; Mammalia; Rodentia; Bathyergidae
Source: Ensembl